AAGUCGUAACAAGGUUUCCGUAGGUGAACCUGCGGAAGGAUCAUUACCAAAUCCAUCCUGUGAAUUCUAACCCCUUGUGUGAAUUGUUUUCUUCUCCUUGGGCUGAAUGGGCUUCUUCCAAUACACACGGACGGCCUUGGUCUUUACACGCUUUAGACGUGGGCCGCCCGUAGUCGGGGUCCGUUUAAUUCAGCCCAAAGUGCAAACACCCAGGUUAACCCCGUUCUUCUCUGCCUCUUGCCUUUGCAAAAGGCCCUAAUGGAAAUACGAAAUACAACUUUUAACGGCGGAUCUCUUGGCUCGC
RNAcentral lists this unclassified non-coding RNA (304 nucleotides) under fungal sp. RNAcentral describes it as "partial internal transcribed spacer region". The stretch from base 1 to 46 matches the Rfam family "Eukaryotic small subunit ribosomal RNA", at positions 1786 to 1831 of the family's 1831-position model. Lineage: Eukaryota; Fungi. The record is from RNAcentral.